UACGUAGGUCCCGAGCGUUGUCCGGAUUUAUUGGGCGUAAAGCGAGCGAAGGUGGUUUAUUAAGUCUGGUGUAAAAGGCAGUGGCUCAACCAUUGUAUGCAUUGGAAACUGGUAGACUUGAGUGCAGGAGAGGAGAGUGGAAUUCCAUGUGUAGCGGUGAAAUGCGUAGAUAUAUGGAGGAACACCGGUGGCGAAAGCGGCUCUCUGGCCUGUAACUGACACUGAGGCUCGAAAGCGUGGGGAGCAAACAGG
Molecule: ribosomal RNA, 252 nt
Filed under: uncultured bacterium
Lineage: Bacteria
Description: partial 16S ribosomal RNA
Rfam family: Bacterial small subunit ribosomal RNA
Source: RNAcentral